Long non-coding RNA from Mytilus trossulus (common blue mussel), 414 nucleotides. RefSeq lists it as uncharacterized. The transcript has 4 exons. Lineage: Eukaryota; Metazoa; Mollusca; Bivalvia; Mytilida; Mytilidae. The record is from RefSeq and is a predicted model, not a curated record.
CCCGCCAUAGUAUUCCAGCUGCUGAAAUCACCAAAAAUAGAAAGUAAAUAGGAUCUUCACUUCUCUCCACCUACACCUUGAAGAUUGCUUGAAGAAUGCAGUGAUUGAGUAUUUCUAUUUGGAGUUUGGUUUUAACUUGAAAGCAAAGUAAUGCUGUAAUAACCGUUUACUAAUUCUGGAAGAGGAUGCAGAUUAACUUACAUUUCAGUCUGGAUGACGAUGUUGACAUGAAAAGAUCGUAUUAAUAAGUAAUUACCAAGAUGGCGCUGAUGACCUGUAAAUAUCUUAUUAAUAAGUGUUAACCUGAGGUUUGUUAUAAAGAGAAAUAAGGUUACUGAGACAGUGACAAAGAAAGAAGACACAGAAUGGUGUAUUUCCCAUGACAAUCUGAAUGAAAUAUUGAGCAACACAGCC